Molecule: ribosomal RNA, 811 nt
Filed under: uncultured Bacillota bacterium
Lineage: Bacteria; Bacillati; Bacillota
Description: bacterial SSU rRNA
Rfam family: Bacterial small subunit ribosomal RNA
Source: RNAcentral
CAAGUCGAACGCGAAAGGGGCUUCGGCCCUGAGUAGAGUGGCGAACGGGUGAGUAACACGUGGGUGAUCUACCUUCGAGUGGGGGAUAACGUUCCGAAAGGAGCGCUAAUACCGCAUGACGUUCUGGGUUUGAAGACCUGGAAACCAAAGUCGGGGACCGCAAGGCCUGACGCUUGAAGAGGAGCCCGCGCCUGAUUAGCUAGUUGGCGGGGUAAUGGCCCACCAAGGCAACGAUCAGUAGCCGGCCUGAGAGGGCGGACGGCCACACUGGGACUGAGACACGGCCCAGACUCCUACGGGAGGCAGCAGUGGGGAAUUGUUCGCAAUGGGCGCAAGCCUGACGACGCAACGCCGCGUGGAGGAUGAAGGUCUUCGGAUUGUAAACUCCUGUUGACCGGGAAGAAUGGGCUCCGACCUAAUACGUCGGAGCAGUGACGGUACCGGUUGAGGAAGCCACGGCUAACUCUGUGCCAGCAGCCGCGGUAAUACAGAGGUGGCAAGCGUUGUUCGGAAUUACUGGGCGUAAAGGGCGCGUAGGCGGCUCGCUAAGUCAGACGUGAAAUCCCCCGGCUUAACCUGGGAACUGCGUCUGAUACUGGCAAGCUCGAGUGCGGGAGAGGGAUGUGGAAUUCCAGGUGUAGCGGUGAAAUGCGUAGAUAUCUGGAGGAACACCGGUGGCGAAGGCGGCAUCCUGGACCGACACUGACGCUGAGGCGCGAAAGCUAGGGGAGCAAACGGGAUUAGAUACCCCGGUAGUCCUAGCCCUAAACGAUGAGUGCUUGGUGUGGCGGGUAUCGAUCCCUGCCGUGCC